GAAUCGCGUCUGAAAUCAGUCGAGCGGUCCGGCAGGCUUUGGUCUGCUGGACAGCGGCGAACGGUCGAGUAACACGUAAAGAACCUGCCCUCAGGACCGGGAUAGCCCUGCGAAAGCGGGAGUAAUACCGGAUACAGUGUGAGGGGGGCAUCCCUCUCACAUGAAAGGGAGCGAUCCGCCUGAGGAGGGCUUUGCGGCCUAUCAGCUAGUUGGUAGGGUAACGGCCUACCAAGGCGACGACGGGUAGCUGGUCUGAGAGGACGGACAGCCGGACUGGGACUGAGACACGGCCCAGACUCCUACGGGAGGCAGCAAUCAGGAAUCUUGCGCAAUGGGCGAAAGCCUGACGCAGCGACGCCGCGUGGGGGAAGAAGUCCUUCGGGACGUAAACCCCUUUUCACCGGGAAGAGUAAGGACGGUACCGGUGGAAUAAGCCCCGGCCAACUACGUGCCAGCAGCCGCGGUAAUACGUAGGGGGCGAGCGUUGUCCGGAUUCACUGGGCGUAAAGGGCGCGUAGGCGGCUGGCUAAGUCAGCAGUAAAAUUCACAGGCUCAACCUGUGAAGGACUGUUGAAACUGGCCGGCUUGAGUGCAGGAGAGGGGAGUGGAAUUCCGGGUGUAGCGGUGGAAUGCGUAGAUAUCCGGAGGAACACCCGUGGCGAAGGCGGCUCCCUGGCCUGCCACUGACGCUGAGGCGCGAAAGCUGGGGGAGCGAACGGGAUUAGAUACCCCGGUAGUCCCA
Molecule: ribosomal RNA, 742 nt
Filed under: uncultured bacterium
Lineage: Bacteria
Description: bacterial SSU rRNA
Rfam family: Bacterial small subunit ribosomal RNA
Source: RNAcentral